Non-coding RNA from Pantoea sp. PSNIH2, 184 nucleotides. The record is from Rfam. Lineage: Bacteria; Pseudomonadati; Pseudomonadota; Gammaproteobacteria; Enterobacterales; Erwiniaceae.
AUUUCUCUGAGAUGUUUGCAAGUGGGCCAGUCCCCUGAGCCGAUAUUUCAAACAAACAGAAUGUGACGCUCCGUAACCUGUGAGCAUGCCCGGUCCGUCCGGGAAGCCUAAUGGUUGCGACGGCAUGUUCACCUUGAACCAAGGGUUCAAGGGUUACAGCCUACGGCGGCAUCUCGGAGAUUCC